RNAcentral lists this long non-coding RNA (444 nucleotides) under Homo sapiens (human). RNAcentral's name for it is "TENM3 antisense RNA 1". Lineage: Eukaryota; Metazoa; Chordata; Mammalia; Primates; Hominidae. The record is from RNAcentral.
GCUCCCCCUCUCCCCGCCCGCCGGCCCCUCCAGCCUCCUCCAAGGCGGCGGACCAGGCCGGGCCGGAGUUUUCGGGGUUCAGCCCGCGAGCGGGAGGACCGGGGAGGCGAGGGAGGAGGAAGGCGAGAAGGGCCAGAUCGCGGGAGAGCCCAAUCACGGGGCGAGCUGGACCUGGCUGUGAUCAUUUAUAAUCCUUGACUCCUCCGCUCCGCCACUUGUCAAGAUGACAGGGGUCAUCCGUGAAUAACACUUCACGCUGAUGAAUGGCUCUUGCCGGCUUUCGGCUCUGAUGAGGGGUCUGCCCGCCGCCGAUUGAAAACACUAAUGAACUUACUGCGCCAUUUGAAAUUCACACGCACCAACAAAAUGGGGGUACGUGCGUGGGGGUCUGUCCUUUUCUGCUGCGGGUGGCGGGGAGGCGGCCCUGGGGGAGGGGGCGGGUAA